UUAGAGUUUGAUCCUGGCUCAGAUUGAACGCUGGCGGCAGGCCUAACACAUGCAAGUCGAACGGUAACAGGAAGCAGCUUGCUGCUUCGCUGACGAGUGGCGGACGGGUGAGUAAUGUCUGGGAAACUGCCUGAUGGAGGGGGAUAACUACUGGAAACGGUAGCUAAUACCGCAUAACGUCGCAAGACCAAAGAGGGGGACCUUCGGGCCUCUUGCCAUCGGAUGUGCCCAGAUGGGAUUAGCUAGUAGGUGGGGUAACGGCUCACCUAGGCGACGAUCCCUAGCUGGUCUGAGAGGAUGACCAGCCACACUGGAACUGAGACACGGUCCAGACUCCUACGGGAGGCAGCAGUGGGGAAUAUUGCACAAUGGGCGCAAGCCUGAUGCAGCCAUGCCGCGUGUAUGAAGAAGGCCUUCGGGUUGUAAAGUACUUUCAGCGGGGAGGAAGGCGAUAAGGUUAAUAACCUUGUCGAUUGACGUUACCCGCAGAAGAAG
RNAcentral lists this ribosomal RNA (495 nucleotides) under Enterobacter cloacae. RNAcentral's name for it is "bacterial SSU rRNA". It matches the Rfam family "Bacterial small subunit ribosomal RNA", at positions 1 to 490 of the family's 1533-position model. The record is from RNAcentral. Lineage: Bacteria; Pseudomonadati; Pseudomonadota; Gammaproteobacteria; Enterobacterales; Enterobacteriaceae.